UACGUAGGGGGCGAGCGUUGUCCGGAAUCAUUGGGCGUAAAGCGCGUGUAGGCGGUCCGGUAAGUCCGCUGUGAAAGUCGGGGGCUCAACCCUCGGAUGCCGGUGGAUACUGUCGGGCUCGAGUACGGAAGAGGCGAGUGGAAUUCCUGGUGUAGCGGUGAAAUGCGCAGAUAUCAGGAGGAACACCAAUUGCGAAGGCAGCUCGCUGGGACGUUACUGACGCUGAGACGCGAAAGCGUGGGGAGCAAACAGG
Molecule: ribosomal RNA, 253 nt
Filed under: uncultured bacterium
Lineage: Bacteria
Description: partial 16S ribosomal RNA
Rfam family: Bacterial small subunit ribosomal RNA
Source: RNAcentral